AGGAAGUGACCUCCCAGACCAGGUGGCCUGACCCUUAAAUAACUUUUCUGACCUCGUCAUUGGUUCCAACCAGAAACAGGCAUUAUUUGAACCCUGCGGAUGCAAACCAAUCAUUUUAAAAGUGGUCAGCAGUCCUUGGUGGAGUGACCACAGUUAUCAAAUUAU
Long non-coding RNA from Gavialis gangeticus (Gharial), 165 nucleotides. RefSeq lists it as uncharacterized. Lineage: Eukaryota; Metazoa; Chordata; Crocodylia; Gavialidae. The transcript is spliced from 3 exons. The record is from RefSeq and is a predicted model, not a curated record.